UGCGCUUCACCCUCAGAGGUGCAAACUCAAGUCGGUGCGGUGGAUUAUAUUUUAUCCGAGUAGACAUUGAUUUUAAAUAAAUCUCAACGAGAGAUGUUCGUGGAAAGUCCGUUUGAAAUGAAAGUAAAGACUUACGGUUUCUAAUGACUUCGACCUUUUUUCACAUUCUUCAUUCCUCAGAUUCAAAUGCCACUUUUCUCCUCUUCUCUCUCUGUGGCUCUUAGUUUGGGGGUCAUAAUCUUUCUCUCCAUGAACUAACCUAUCCCUCACUCCCCUCACUGGUUCUUCUUCUUUCUUUUUUCUAUUUCCUGUUUCCCUCUUCUUCUCUCCUGUCAUGUCUGUAUCCAUGAGGAAUCAAGUCCAGCGCCGGCGCUCCCUGGGUCCAGUUUCUCCCAAACGCAUCUACAGAAACCUGUCCGUCAGACUGAGGGGCGGAGAGUCAUCUGUUUCCAGGGAAUUGGACACAACCAAACACUUCAGCAAGUCUGCAGAUUCUUACAAGACCUUGUGGGAAGCAGUGGAAAAUGAGGAUACUUUGGCCGUACAAAGCCUGCUGUCCAGAGACCACAACCAUGCUGCAGGAGGAG
Molecule: long non-coding RNA, 587 nt
Organism: Notothenia coriiceps (black rockcod)
Lineage: Eukaryota; Metazoa; Chordata; Actinopteri; Perciformes; Nototheniidae
Exons: 3
Source: RefSeq, a predicted model, not a curated record